Molecule: ribosomal RNA, 253 nt
Filed under: uncultured bacterium
Lineage: Bacteria
Description: partial 16S ribosomal RNA
Rfam family: Bacterial small subunit ribosomal RNA
Source: RNAcentral
UACGAAGGGGGCUAGCGUUGCUCGGAAUCACUGGGCGUAAAGGAUGCGUAGGCGGGUCUUUAAGUCAGGGGUGAAAUCCUGGAGCUCAACUCCAGAACUGCCUUUGAUACUGAGGAUCUUGAGUUCGGGAGAGGUGAGUGGAACUGCGAGUGUAGAGGUGAAAUUCGUAGAUAUUCGCAAGAACACCAGUGGCGAAGGCGGCUCACUGGUCCGGUACUGACGCUGAGGUGCGAAAGCGUGGGGAGCAAACAGG